RNAcentral lists this long non-coding RNA (3262 nucleotides) under Homo sapiens (human). RNAcentral's name for it is "HSALNT0353117". Lineage: Eukaryota; Metazoa; Chordata; Mammalia; Primates; Hominidae. The record is from RNAcentral.
GAGUUGGGGGAGAGGACCAGAACCACCUGCUGGAGAAGGGGAGCUACGGGGGCCGGGCAGGGUCCAAACGCCUCACGUAGGCGGCGGCGCCACGGUCUUCGGGGUCACAGGGAAGAGAAGGGCUCUCCUCAAGCGGGUGGAAGGAGGGAGGCCUCCCGAGGGAGUGAGACUCUAGGCCACUCCCCCGCAGCAAGGCAGGAUCACCUGCGACGCGGAGAGCGGUUAGAGGGCCCUGGAGUGGAAAAGGGCAGUGGGACCUGGUAGCUUGGGUUCCCUGCAACUUGGGGUUCGACCUCCAGGCAAUGAAGUAGGGAUGGUCCUGCAAGUCAAGAUUCCAGUAGCAAGAGUGCAUCAGAUCUCUGUAAGGAAAAUAACUAACAUUGCUCAGUUCCCUGUAGAGUUGCAGGGCGCUUUAACGUUAUCUCCCUUGGUUCUCCAUCAGGUCGUAGUGGACUAAUUUUACAGGCGAAGUUAAGUGACUUACCCAAAACCUCACAGCUAAUAAACGGCAGAGCCGGCACCCAGCUGUACUGGCUUCCAAUUCUGUUAGCUUACCAGCGCAUCACAUUAUCUCCAUAAAUCCCCAUGAUUCAACUAAUAUUAGACGCCCCACAGGUAAGAUGCUUCAGAGUUAGAGGGGAGUUGAAGAUACCUUUGCCUUCAAAGAAGUAAGGAAUAAAACAAAGAUAAAACAGACAAUAAAAGACAAACCAUGAUAGGUGCCACGUGAAAAGUGGCAGAGUACUGCCGGGAAUCAAAGAACCGUGUAUAUCUGUCUUGGGGAUAAGGAAAGAAAGGCAGCAUGAAGGAGUAGGCAUUUGGGAUUGACCUUGAAGGAGACAGGGAGAGUUUUACAGCAAGCAGGGAUAGCAUGAGAAUAUAUAUGAAGGCGAAUCAGUGAAAGUUGUGUUGGGGAAAGAGCAAAGACUCCAGGGUAUGUUGAGAGGUAGAAAAGACAAAGGAGUAUGGGGCCUAAGAUACCAAAUGGAUGAAUUUAUAUUUAAUUCAGUAUUUUGAGUUUUUAUGGUUCAGAAGUUUGGGGGAAGAAAAGGAAGGUUUUUUUUUUUCUUUGUGCUAGUGAUUUAUCUGUGAGGGGAAGCAGAAAUCAGAGGUGGAAAAACGGACAGAUCUACUGUAGGCCAGGUAAAAAUGAUGAGUCUGACCUAAAGGGACAGCUAGGGGAAUUUAAAAGAGCAUAGUUGAGAGAUGAUGUGCAUGCAGUAUCUAUAGAAUUUGGCAACUGAUUGAUUAAUUGUGGGUAGGAAGAGAGAAAUCAAAGAAAGUGGAGGUUUUGAGUUUGUAGAUAAUUGCAAGAGAGAAAAGAGACAAUUACAAAGGAGAGGGAGCUACUUCUUGAGAGAUCAGUUUAGAUUUGGACAUUUUAAGAAUUCAAAGGGUUGUCAAGACAGCCAGAGAGACAUGGACACUAAUAAGUUAGAAAUAAAGGUUUUGUAAUAUGGGAAAGAGGACUGAACUAGAAAAUAGACUCAUAAAUAAUCAGCCUAGGAGUGAUAUUGCUGUGAGAUAAAAGAAGAAAACAAAGGUCAGAAUCUUGGAAAACACCCUCUUUAGAGUCUCGCUACUCAAAACGUGGUCAGUGGCCCAGCAGCACUGACAUGAGGAUGUUAGUUAGAAACUCAGAAUCUCAGGCUCCACCCCAGACCUGCUGAACCAGCAUCUUCAACUUAACAAGAACCCGAAGAGAUUUGUGUCACAUCAAAAAGUUUGAGAAGCUCUGAUCUAGGUGAGCCAAGCCAGCAAAGAAAGGGGAUGGAGCAGAAAAUGGGAGGAGAAUAGGGUAACGCAGAAUCAUCAAGACAAGGUAAAUUGGAGUUUCACAAAAACAGGGCUGGAAGGAGUGUUGCUCAACAAUAUCCAAAACCACAGAGGUUGAAAAGCACAAGGAAAGAAGGUAUGUUUGCACUUUGUGAUUAGGUAGUAGGGUCUUUGAGACCACAUUGUUCUUAUUGAAAGCCUGGGAAGAAAGAUCCCCUUUCUGGUCAAGUUUAGUCUAGGGAUCCAUCCCAUCUUCCCCAGUUCCCACGUGUAUGGGACAUGUCGAGAUAAGUAGAUAGAUUGGACAGUGGGAGAAAGUAGUUCUCUUCCAGUUGCUUCUAUUUUCUCAGCAAAGUGAGGAGCAAGAUCAUUUUGGCAGACUGCUAAUUGUCCAUCACAAUUUAGUCUCCCUUUCUCCCUGAAAACACAGACUGCUUUUCUCAGCCUCUCUUUCAGUUGCAUAUGGUCAAGUAUUAAGUUAUAGAACGUGAGCAGAUGUUAUGUCUGCCACUGUCAGGCCAAGGCGUUUACUUUGAGAGUACUUGUGCCUCUUUCAUGCAUUUUCCUUUCUGCCAGCUGGACCCUGGACACGGUGACUCUGAUUCAAUUAUGCAGAUGACCACAAACCUCUGGGGUUGGCAGAGCCACAAGAAAGAAGGUGCCUGGAUGAAGGAGAGCUACCCACUGACCUGGACACCCAAUUAUUCAUCUGUCUUAGAGCUAUUGGAAUCCUGGAUCAUUGUGGGAAAUGAAAGAUACUUCGAUGGAAUCAGCAGCCAUUGAUCCAAUGCCAACUCCAAGACUGGAACGUCGCAAUGAUAGUUCCAAGGCGGAAAUUUGACGUAAUUCUUUUCGACACAGUUUUACAGGCAUCUUGCAUGUGAAUAACUCACAACUUUAAUUCAUGGAACAAAUUGAGAAAUAGUCUUUUGGGGGUUUGGUACUCCCUGGAAACAUAAGAGUGCUUUGGGCACCUCUGGUGCCUUUCCAUGCCUGCCUUCUCUGCUGUUCUUGCUACUAGUGAAUUCUAAAUCAUGGCCAAGUGAUGCCAGCACUGGAUAAUAUUGGCUCUGCCCCAUAUCUCGAGGGAAAACUCUAGGACUUGGCAUUAUAUGUGUGGGAAUCUGGCCUUGGUUGGCACUCCCAGCAUGAUAGCGGGGUUCUCCUGUCUGAAUGUACUCUGGGGUGUGCGCCACAAUUUCUGUCAUCGAAAUGGAGAUGAGAGAAUAUGCCCUUGGUGGGGACACCCCACUGGAAUUAGAGUGAAGAGAUCAAAGCUAGAGGUUCUUAAAUCAAAGAAUAUCUAAUAGCAAAGACAAAAACUUGCUUAAGGGAAAUGCAUACAAGUACUAGACCUAAUAUGAUGAAAAAUGCCAACUUCAAUAUAUUGAUGCAUGCUUAGUACACUUUCAGUCCUGCAAAGACAAAGUUUUUUGUUGUUUUUUUUUUGAGACGGAGUCUCGCUCUGUCGCCCAGGUUGGAGUGC